CCCAAGGGUUCGGCUGUUCGCCGAUUAAAGUGGUACGUGAGCUGGGUUUAGAACGUCGUGAGACAGUUCGGUCCCUAUCUGCCGUGGGUGUCGGAGAAUUGAGAGGAGCUGCUCCUAGUACGAGAGGACCGGAGUGGACGCACCUCUGGUGGACCUGUUGUCGCGCCAGCGGCAUAGCAGGGUAGCUAUGUGCGGAAAGGAUAACCGCUGAAAGCAUCUAAGCGGGAAGCCUCCCUCGAAACUAGUUCUCCCAUGAGAGCUGUGGAAGACUACCACUUCGAUAGGCUGGGUGUGGAAGUAUAGUAAUAUAUGAAGCUUACCAGUACUAAUCGCUCGAUUGGCUUGAUUACACUCAUUAU
RNAcentral lists this ribosomal RNA (359 nucleotides) under Rhodobiaceae bacterium. RNAcentral describes it as "bacterial LSU rRNA". It matches the Rfam family "Bacterial large subunit ribosomal RNA", at positions 2564 to 2925 of the family's 2925-position model. The record is from RNAcentral. Lineage: Bacteria; Pseudomonadati; Pseudomonadota; Alphaproteobacteria; Hyphomicrobiales; Rhodobiaceae.